RNAcentral lists this ribosomal RNA (251 nucleotides) under uncultured bacterium. RNAcentral describes it as "partial 16S ribosomal RNA". It matches the Rfam family "Bacterial small subunit ribosomal RNA", at positions 524 to 776 of the family's 1533-position model. The record is from RNAcentral.
UACGUAGGGGGCAAGCGUUAUCCGGAAUUACUGGGUGUAAAGGGAGCGUAGACGGUAAUGUAAGUCUGGAGUGAAAGGCGGGGGCCCAACCCCCGGACUGCUCUGGAAACUAUGUUACUAGAGUGCAGGAGAGGUAAGCGGAAUUCCUAGUAGCGGUGAAAUGCGUAGAUAUUAGGAGGAACACCAGUGGCGAAGGCGGCUUACUGGACUGUAACUGACGUUGAGGCUCGAAAGCGUGGGGAGCAAACAGG